Molecule: long non-coding RNA, 5027 nt
Organism: Equus caballus (horse)
Lineage: Eukaryota; Metazoa; Chordata; Mammalia; Perissodactyla; Equidae
Source: Ensembl
AAACAUCACUUGCUCUAUGUCCUGUCUCUCUGUCUAACCCUGAGCCACCCAAUUCUGCUUUUUCUAGGAGUUCUGAAAACACUAAAUAAUACUGUUUCAGUAUGUUAGCUAACAGAAUGUACAGAUAUCUUAAAAAUCAGAAAUCAGAUAGGAUGUUUUCAAGUGGGGCUUUAGAAGGAAGGUUUCAAUGCUGGCAAUUAAGUUACAGGCCCCGAAUGGGGAAGGUGUGAGGUCCCGCACCUUUUCCCUAUUUUCCAGCUCAGGGUCAAUCUAGUCUUUCUCACGCACUUCCUGUCAAUAUUACUAAAUGAUUGCCCUCACUUCAGAAGUCAAUGGCAAGUUACCCACACUUCUUUCUGACUUGGCUGUGAAUUAGGGCUUCCCACAACCCCCUCUUCAGGAGCAUGCUUGUCUGGCUGCCCAUCACAUGGAGGUCUCAAAGCAACGGAGCUCCGUUCCCGUCACCUCUCCAGAGUCUCCAUGUCCCUCCUCCACAGCCGAGCGGUCACAGGGCUGGCCUCAGGGAGCCACACAGCCCUGGGUUUCCUGGACAGCUGUGAAGAAGGAGCUCAUCAGGCUUCACAGCCAGGACCCUGGGGGAGCUGUUACGAGCACACCCAAGAACAAGCUCUCUCAGCAAUUUUCACUUACAGCAGCAAGGAGUCAGUUGGGAAAACACAUCUUCUUGGAAGGAGUUCUCAGCUUCUGAUUCCUCUCUUCUCAGCCCUUCACACACUCCCUGUCACAGUAAGAUAUUUCAAAAGCCAACCAAGAGGAUAUGGAGUCUGGAAUCUUGCUCAAACAAUCCUAGAAGGUGCCAGAAGCUUCUUUCUCCAAGAGGCCGCCACUUUGACUGCAGCCCCAAAUGAAUCUUCCUCAGAACUGUUUGUGAAAGUGGUUGCCGGCUGCCUGCUCCGGCCCCCCUUCUACAGCCGUGCCUCUCACCCCAUGCCCGCAGCCACAGCAGGCCGCUGCACCCGGGGUCCAGCUCCGGCCCUUACUGAGCCUUCAGAUCUCAGCUUAUGCCUCGGCUCCUCCAAAAGGUGGGCUGCCCUCAUCUCCUCCUCUCAGAAGGUCCCCUUUCCCCUAAAGUGGCAAGUCAAUGACAAAACCCCAGUGAGGCUCUCUCCCUACAUUUUGCCUCAUAGUGCAUAUUCUUCAUAUGACUAAAAUACCAUUUAAAGAGUGUCUGCUGUGUGCUAGACUGCUCAAUGCUGUACACAUAUGAUCUCCUUUAUUAUUCACCAGCAAAGUUUUAAGAGUGAUAUUCUAUCCCCAUUUAUGAAUCAAGAAGCUGAGAGUCCGGGAGAUUAAGUCCGUUGUCUGAGAUCUCAGACUCUUGAGAGAGUGGGGCCAGCACUCCUAACCAGUCGCUCUCGGCACCUGGAGUCCUCGAGGCGCCUUCAGCCAUCAUGUUCCACCUGCUGAAUGGAAUUUCCUUCCAGGGCCUGUCCCUAGGGCGUUGCCCCCACAGGGAGACUAGAGGUUCAGUCCAGACUUUCCUGGCCCCACCCUGAGCCACCCGCAGCCACCCUGAGGUAGGGGAGUUACUUCGCCUCUGUCCGUACAGGUUUUAUAAAUGUUCUAAACAACAAGGGGAAAAAGCAGCCAGUUCUUCCUCCACCUGCAUCCCAAAGCGGGAAGCCGCUGUUCAUGAGGCCUUCCUUGCACGAUGGACACUACCCGGAGCCGAGCUCUGGGCCCGCCCCCACCCUGGGCCGCCUCCUUCCUCCCAAGGAACGAUGCGGUGCGGUUCCCUGGGAGGGAAGGCUGCUGAAGAAAAUCAGGUUGACAUUCCUCCUGCGGCCUGCCAGAGACUCACGGCCUGAAGGAAGGAGGCGGUGUGUGCUGUAUGGUAGAAAGAGCAUGGGACUUGAUAUAAUAAUAUCUGAUUUCAAAUUUUGUCUCCACCAUGACAUUUAAUGUCUCUGACCAGACAGUAAACUCUCUGAGCUUCCGUUUUUGCUAUUUGUUUACUGAGUGGGGAUGGAAGGUUGCUGUAAGCAUUAAACUGGACAAAAUCGUGCAUGCAAGGACCUGGCCCAGACCAGCACCCCCCAGUACAUAGUUGUACAUUCUUCGUUGUGGGUCCUUCUAGUUGUGGCAUGUGGGACGCUGCCUCAGCGUGGUUUGAUGAGCAGUGCCAUGUCCGCGCCCAGGAUUCGAACCAACGAAACAUUGGGCCGCCUGCAGCGGAGCGCGCGGACUUAACCACUCGGCCACGGGGCCAGCCCUAAGAGGAGGUGGGUUUGUUUUUGAAAGCGCUUCCUGAUAUUCCCGGAGGCCUGCGGGGAGCGUCUGCGGUGAAGUUCAGUGUUGUCUGAAGCUUUCUAAGGCACAGCUCCGCUCAGGUGUGUCCACUGCCCCAAAACCUAUAAUAAAUAACAACGACAACAACAUCGACAACAAUAAUAACAGUGGUCAGCCACUGAGAACUUCCUGUGUGAUGAGCUCCGUACAGAUCUGCUCUCUCAUCCUCACACCCACUCUGAGUUAGCAUUCUUACACCCAUUUUAUAAUUGAGGAAACGGAGAGUUAAGGAUUAAGCAACUUGCCCAAAAUUAUGCAGUGUAGGGGCCACAUGUGUGUGCCUCUUAGAUUCUGACCACAGGAGCAUUGCUCACGGACAGCCCAGCUGCCGCCCUGAAAUCCGUCUCCACGAGGCCAUGCUUUCCAUGAGCCGCUCCCCGCCAGCAGCUGAGCCCGAAGAGGUGCGGGAGACAGGCAGCCGCAGCUUUGCUCUGGUAGGUGGGCGACUGUGGCUCGGGAUCCCCGACUGCCUUGCUGAACUCCCAGAACCCCAUUGCACCGUGAGAUGCUACCUUGGCCUCCCUUCCUUCCCGCCUCCUUCACCCGGGCUCACACUGCUUCAUGGUCUGACUGCUCUGCCAGCCUCCCCUGGCUCCCGCUCCGUGUUUCCUCACCCGCAUUCCCGGAGAAAUCUCAUGCACAGCUAAUCCCAUCUUGGCAUCGCUUUUGAAGGACCAGGAGGAACGCACACAGCUAAAAACCAGUAGUUUGAAGGCCUUCUGGUUGAACCCCAGUAUCAGUUCUUCCUUCCACACUAAUGGAACUUGAGCCUGCCUCCCAGAGUAGUCUGCAUUCCCAGCCUCACUUGCACCUGCCUGUAGCCUCAAGCUAAGAUCUGGCUGUAGGAUCUGAAUGCAGCUGGUCUGAGGGACUUCUGGGUUGUGUCCCUAAACCCUGGAUGUGUUGGCCUGUCAUGAACCCCGUGAAGCAGGGGACACCUCAGGGAGAGCAAAGCACAGAAAGAGCCCGGGCCUCUGGCAGCUCUGCAGAGCAGAGCUGCAUGCCUGCAAGGACUUCUACACCAGAGGGAAAGACUGGCAUCUUGUUUAAAUCACUGUUACUUUGAGCAUCUGUUACAUUUACACAGCCGAACCCAAUAUCCCAACCCACUCAGAUUUGAAUCUAGGCUUAGUGUCAAAGCUUUGGAUUUUAAAGGGACUCCAAAGUCACAUCAUUUGUGGAAGGGAUCCCAGCAUGGAGGGAGGUAAUUGGCAAGAGGCAGGAAGUAUAAUGGUCAAGAGCCACUGUGAAUGGGCCUCAGGCGGUGCCGGCACAAAGGAAGCACUGGUAGCUUGCACAUGGUAGCUGUCAUUACUAUUACUGUUACCAUCGUUGUUAUUGAAGUCAUUUAAGCAGGGGCAUAACCAGAUGAGCAGGAAUGUGGAGCACUGUCUGCCACGGUCUGAAAGCCUGAACUAAGGCAGAGAAAUACUUUACAUAAGUUGUGGAGCAAUAAGUUGACAAGAUAGCAGGAAAAAGUUCAACCCCAAAUCAGUGGAGGUGCUUUUCCCGCCCCACAGGUGAAAGCCCCUAGUCUGUGCACCAAGCAUCAACUGCCCGUGGGCUUGAAGGGCUAGGGAAACGGAAUCAGCCGCCGUGGUUGAGUGGUUGAGUGGUUUGGGCCAGGCAUCGCCACCCCGCAUCCCGAGCACGGUGGGGUUAGGGAGGGCUUCUCGUGGAUACCAGGCCCAUGGGAGGAUCCUGGGAGUCAGCUCUUCCCCUCCCUCAUCCUGGGUGCAGCUAGAGGUAGGGGCUCGGCACAUCUGACCCGCCAACCCUGCUGGAGUGACCGGAGGACAGGAUGGAACCGGCUCCUCAGCCCAGCCUCAAGAGUCUUCACAGCCUGGGGCACCCCACUUUCACACUCAGCCUGGUGGACUUCUCACCAUCGCCUCGAACCCCACCCUUGUAACUGUGCUGUUCUCUCGAGGCUUUCCCUCCAUCUCCCUCUGGCCAGCUCCUAUUCACGCUGCAAUGCCCAGAAGCCUGCGAGAUGGUCGGCACGGGGAAGCGUUCAAUAACUGUCCGAUGGAUGAACGAAGACUCAGGCCACUCAUCCACAAGCCCAAAGUGGUCGAGAGUGGAGCAGUCUACCCACGUGCUCUUGCAGAAAAUGACAGGGAAUCAUCCAAGGACACUUGUGACAGGUGAGGACUGUCCCUGUGGAGAGGGGCCGUGGGGACAGGAUCGACGGGCGACUUCUGGGAGCUGAGUGCCAGGGCUGUGGGCACGUCAGCUCAAGAGCGCCCUGCUGUCAGCAUCCCCCGUGACAGAGCUGAGCCCGCUCUAGUGACGCAAUGUCAUCCAUCCCUUACACCCAAGCGGGUCUUUUACUUUAGCUAAUGCUGCAGUGAUAGUGCAGAUGGGGAAACUGAGGCCCCAGAGCUGAAGAACCAAAUUACCCGGUUCUAAAGGAGGAGUUUCCGACUUUCUGCUCUGCACGUGGGCCAUGAACCUCUGUGCACUUGUGAAGAAUAUUCUGGACUUGGAGUGAGAAUAUCUGGGUUGGAGAGAGGUUUCCACUUCUUACUGGCUUUGCAUUGAUACCUCUCUCCCAGAGCCUCAGUGACUCAUUUAUAAAAUGGCGAUAAAUAGUUUCCUGCCUGGUGACCUCACUGAGAUGUUGGAUCAGGAAGAAACAUACAUGAAAAGCUCUCCUAAUUUAUAAGGACUUCCUUCAAACACAGAUUUUAUUUCAUGUUUUUAUCUGAGGGUUG